UGGGGAAUAUUGCACAAUGGAGGGAACUCUGAUGCAGCGACGCCACGUGAACGAAGAAGGCUUUCGAGUCGUAAAGUUCUUUUAUAUGGGAAGAUAAUGACGGUACCAUAAGAAAAAGCCCCGGCUAACUACGUGCCAGCAGCCGCGGUAAUACGUAGGGGGCUAGCGUUGUCCGGAAUCACUGGGCGUAAAGGGUUCGCAGGCGGAAAUGCAAGUCAGGUGUAAAAGGCAGUAGCUUAACUACUGUAAGCAUUUGAAACUGCAUAUCUUGAGAAGAGUAGAGGUAAGUGGAAUUUUUAGUGUAGCGGUGAAAUGCGUAGAUAUUAAAAAGAAUACCGGUGGCGAAGGCGGCUUACUGGGCUCAUUCUGACGCUGAGGAACGAAAGCGUGGGUAGCAAACCGG
This 403-nucleotide ribosomal RNA is filed under the name bacterium. Its description in RNAcentral is "partial 16S ribosomal RNA". It matches the Rfam family "Bacterial small subunit ribosomal RNA", at positions 355 to 776 of the family's 1533-position model. The record is from RNAcentral.